This 2526-nucleotide long non-coding RNA is filed under the name Marmota monax (woodchuck). The record is from RNAcentral. Lineage: Eukaryota; Metazoa; Chordata; Mammalia; Rodentia; Sciuridae.
AUUCAAUCCCACAUAAGAGAAAUCUCUAAGGUUGGUGCCUUAUACAAAAAUAGGCAUGCCUCUAAAUGGGGGAAUGUGACAGAGAUCCAGACCUGAUUAUUAAAUAAAAUUAUGAGAACAUUAAGAUAAAGAACCUUUCCCUGUGGAAAGGGUUAAUUUUCUUAUACUUUAUAACUUUCUGAACUCUCUAGAAAUGUAGCUACAUCGAUUAAUUGCUAGGCCAAUUAACUGCCAUCUAAACUAUAGCCUUGUAGGCUUAAUUCUCAGAACUAUUGCUCUUAGGGAGGUAAAAUCAAGUUAUCUUGAGUUACUGCUGCCUAUGGUGAAGGCCACAUGGUGAUAGCACUCACAGUGUUUUACUGUCUUUAUUCCUCACCUGUGAACUACUUAUUGUAAAUUCCCUGUGCAUGCUCUUUGGUCACAUUGGCCAAGAGUUCAAACCCUCCAAUGUUGUAUUGGUUAAGAAAUGAUGUCUACUUUCCUAUUAAGAGCUCCCUGUAACCUCAGCUUCGGUUCCAUAACUUUAGAACUCUAGCUUAUCUGGGUCCAUCAGUGUAAAGAAAACUGAGUUCUCCAAGCCUUGGAGAACUUGGAGUGGUGCUUGGUGUCUUUCUGAGAGUGAUUUCCAUAACAAAAGAAGCAGCUGAAGACUUUGGCAUUACAGGGGUACAAGUCCUAUUUUCAAUGAAAGAUCUAAAACAGAAUAGACUAGAUCUAGGAAAAUUUAUACAUGGACAUAGCAAUACACUGAGAACUUUCAACACUUAAUCAAAACUUUGGACUCAAUUUGGGAGGAUAUAAAUAAUACUAUUUGUAUAGAUUUUAGCAACCACAGAGUGAUAGUGACAGGAUCUCCCUAAGCUUUAGAGAUCAACUGCAUCUUGUGGAUAGAGGUUAUCCUAUAGGAAUUACUGAAGUUCCUACUAUAGACCCAAAAUGGAAUUAUGAUGAGGAAGAAGUUAGGAAAAAGCAGAACUACUAACUAUUCUGCUUAAAUGAAGGACUGAGAGAAAGCGAAAUGAAGCCUUUAAACUAUGCAGAAUUAAUAAUGAUACAACAGAACAAUUAAGCCUGCUUUCCUUCUGGAACACCUUAAGGUGACAUUCAUUACACUUGUAUAAGUCCAUAUUCUCUAGAAGGACAGUUGAUUUUUAAAAGGUAAUUUAUCAUUCAGUCAGCCCAGAUAUUAGGAAUAAACUAUAGUAGUUAGCCUUGGGUCCUGGAACUCUCAUUGAUGAACUACUAAAAAUUGCAUGUCCAUGUAUUAUAACCACGAAAAGAGAAGGAAUUAAUGGCCCGGAGAAGAAAUUAUAAGGUACUAGAAUGGAAAGUCCAUCUCUUGAGGGCAGCACUAGUCAAAUCCAGUUUUCGGUAUCCUCAAAUCAUGUCUCCACCUGGGGAAUGCUACUUCUGCAAAAAAACAAAAACAAAAAGAAAACAACAAUAAAAACACAAACAAACAAAAACCCCUGGCCACUGUAAGUAUAACUGCCCAAGCAAUAGCCAGGCAAUAGUCACAGUGUGAGUGACAAGGACACUGGAAACAUGAUUGCCCUGAGGACCAAAGGGACUUUAGGACAACUGACUCUGCUGAUGCCCCAGUGGCUAAAAAAUCAGAAGGUCUUCAGACUCCAUUGGCCUAUGGCACUUCCAUUGCAAUUCAUAGAUGGAACUGAGGGUAAUACUGGAUUUUGCAGGCAAACCAGUGUCAUUCUUACUUGAUACAGUUACCAUUUAUUCUGUUCUUAUUUCUUUCUCUGCCAAAUUAUCUACCAGCUUUUGCUAGGUUAACAUGAAUUGAUGGAAAGACCCAGACCCAACACUUUAAUGAACUGGUGGUUUUGUACAUGGGGUAACUGGACAUUUCCUCAUUCCUUCCUUAUAAGCCUGACUGUCCAGACCCUCCAUUAGGUCAAGAUAUAUUAGAAAUGAGGGGAGCUCAGAUUGUUUUUGAAAAUUCACAGGAAUCACCUAUGACAUUUAAGACUUUAACAAAUUCCACAAGGCAUCUUCACAAUGCCUGCAGAUUCAAAUGUAAAUCCUGAGGUAUGGGACAUUGGAAUCCCCAGGAAAGAUCCAAAAAAAAAAAAAAAAAACAAAAACCAAAACGUAUUCUUGGCCUACAUGACCAAGGACCAUGAAUGGGAAUUUUUAGACUUAAGGAGCCUACUAAUUUCAUAUUUAGAAUUAAGGAGCCUACUAAUUUCUCUAACUGAAGGGGGAAAUAUUACUUUCUAGCUGUGGUCUUUGUAAGAUAUUGUUUAAAUACUGGUUUAAAUUGUAACAUUUCUGUGCUACGUUGGAAUGACAGCACUUAGGAAUGUUUGCUUGCAAUUAUUUUGAGAAACAGCUGCCUGUGAAAAGCACCACUCCCCUUAUCACUUGUAGGUGCUAGCCCUGCUUUAGACCUCUCUCUCUGCUUCAGUAAACAGGCUUGCCACAAAAAUUCCCAUUCAUGGUCCUUAGUCAUGUAGGCCAAGAAUUCAAAUUUACAAAUGCUACAACUAAGAAAUGAAGUUAAACUCA